GACGAACGCUGGCGGCGUGCCUAACACAUGCAAGUCGAGCGAGUGAAUUUCCUUCGGGAUUGAAGCUAGCGGCGGACGGGUGAGUAACACGUGGGCAACCUGCCUCAUGGAGGGGAAUAGCCUUUCGAAAGGAAGAUUAAUACCGCAUAAGAUUGUAGCUUCGCAUGAAGUAGCAAUUAAAGGAGCAAUCCGCUAUGAGAUGGGCCCGCGGCGCAUUAGCUAGUUGGUGAGGUAACGGCUCACCAAGGCGACGAUGCGUAGCCGACCUGAGAGGGUGAUCGGCCACAUUGGGACUGAGACACGGCCCAGACUCCUACGGGAGGCAGCAGUGGGGAAUAUUGCACAAUGGGGGAAACCCUGAUGCAGCAACGCCGCGUGAGUGAUGACGGCCUUCGGGUUGUAAAGCUCUGUCUUCAGGGACGAUAAUGACGGUACCUGAGGAGGAAGCCACGGCUAACUACGUGCCAGCAGCCGCAGUAA
This 480-nucleotide ribosomal RNA is filed under the name uncultured bacterium. Its description in RNAcentral is "partial 16S ribosomal RNA". It matches the Rfam family "Bacterial small subunit ribosomal RNA", at positions 28 to 523 of the family's 1533-position model. The record is from RNAcentral.